Molecule: long non-coding RNA, 2230 nt
Organism: Selaginella moellendorffii
Lineage: Eukaryota; Viridiplantae; Streptophyta; Lycopodiopsida; Selaginellales; Selaginellaceae
Exons: 7
Source: RefSeq, a predicted model, not a curated record
GGAGUUCCAGGCCACCACGUGCCUCUCAAACAAACAUUUAGCCUCCUCCAAGCAGCCAUGAGGUGCAUAGCCGUCGAUCAUAGCCGUAAAUGCCACCUCAUUAAGAUCCGGGGCAUCUUCAAAGAGAUUCUUUGCUUGCUCCAUAUGCCCGGCCUGGUGAUCAUGGUCGUCCAUGUUACUAGGGCAUUCUAUCAAAGAGAUCUUUAGCUUCAUCCAGCCGCUGGUUCUGGCAGUGGCCUUGGAUCAUGGCCGUCCACGGCGCGUGAGAGAUGCCCGUUAUGGGCCAUGGCCGUGCUAGAAACGGGGGUUUGCUCCGGCAUGGAGUGGAAUACCGCCUCGGCGAGUACAUCUCGAUCAUCGCGAUCCAGGUGAUGGAAUUCUUUGCAGGGAUGCGAUCGAAGAGCUGCUUGGCGCGCUGCACGUCCCCGGCCGCGGCUUCAGGUCGUGGCUGCGAAUGUAGGCCUGGAGGGUGAGAUUCCAAGAGAAGAGAUUGGGAUCCGAGGUAGAAUCGAAGACCGAUCGCGCUUCCUCCAGGCAGCCGCAGCGGCCAUACAUCUGGACGAGGAGAUUUCGCAGGAAGACGCUGUUGUUGUGGUCGCUGUGAAGGAUCUGGGCGAUGGAUCCGGCGGCCAUUGUCGCAAGAUGUGACGAGGGCGGCAAGCUCUUAUGCGCAUCGCAUCAUGGCCGUUGGAUGAUGGGGACGUCCGAGGUUCAAGUCCUGGCAGGUUCUAGCUUCCCGAUGUUUUUCAUGGCAUCCCCGAUCGCUCAGCUGCACUCCAAAUGCCGGGCGCGCUCGUCAACGACAGAAUUAACUUCCUGGACACAAGUGGAAGAGAGCAGGCUGGUUUUCCGGGCGAUGGAUCAAAAGGAUAUCAUCUCCUAAUGUCUUGCGCAGCUUACGUUUGGGUUGAGCGUCUCAGCGGCAGUGCAAGAUCUAUCCUAUCCGCACUUUCCAAAAGGACAGCACUAUCCAUACUUAUGGAAACAUCGUCUACAUGAAAUGCACAUCUACUAUACGAUCUACAUCUCGGGCGACUGUCCUAAGUCCAUCUACCGGUGGCCAUAGAGACUGGAACCCUCCAAAUACGCUGCGUUCUAGCUGAUAGUCGUCAGCUGCUCUAUACCGAUGGCUUUCCAGUAAGAAACGUGUUUAACCGUGUUAUAUGUGCUUGCUUCAAUGGAGCGUCCAACACCGCUCAAACAGGAGGCUUGGACAUGCGAGUGAUAGUAAGCAAGAUAAGCAGGGUCUGACCUGAGGUUCUGCUCCGCCUCCACCACAUCCAGCAGCUGAUGAUAUCUCCAGAGGAUCUCAAGGUUUCUAAGCAAUGCACGGCGUUAUUGCUUUCUACAAAGACACCACGAGAAUCCUUGUUAACACUCUCGGAUUUCAAAGUUAUGGAGGCACACGCUCCAUACGUCUGGGUGGGAUGUUUUCUCAGAAAUCCUGGAGGUCUCGAGUUUUCUUGACUUUUAGGGAAGGUCAGGUAUGGACGUCCAUGAGCAAGAUGAGAUAGCAGUUUCGCAAUGGUUUCAAGAAGCAUGAGCCGCAGGUCUUCGAGAUCAUAACCUUUCCAAAGUUUGGAAUUGGACAGCGUGCGUUUCUCAUCCAGACUCAAGAGGGAAACAUACUGUGGGACUGCAUCUCAUUUCUAGACGAUGCCACAGUGGAGAUAACCAAGUCACUAGGUGGAUUGAGAGCGAUUGCCAUUUCUCACCCGUAUUACUACAGCACAAACUCUCGAUGGAGCGAGGCUUUUGGAGGCGUCCCGGUUUAUACCCGCGAAUGAGUGGUUUACCAGCACGAAAAGGUGAAGUUCUACUAUGGGAGGGACUCACGCUUUUAGCCAUUUUUCUGUUGCACAAAUCCUCCACUGGUCUCAUGGAGCUCAAGGAGAGGUGUUUUAUUCACUGGAGAUAUCUUACAGGUGGGGAUGGACAACAAAACAGUGAGCAUAAUGAGAUCGUACCCAAAGUAUAUACCACUCGUCCAUGUUUGAUUUGUAGGUGGGGAUGGACAACAAAAUAGUGAGCAUAAUGAGAUCGUAUCUAAACUAUAUACCACUCUUGUCAAGCCACACUAAAAGGAUAGGCCAGGUGAUCGAGCCAUGGGAUUUUGGGAGGCUCUACAUUGCGUUUCAGGACAGAGAGGAUGACGCUGCUUAAGCAUCACAAUUAUCGAUUGACUCUCAAGUAAUGAAUCAGACUGAAACUCGAGAUGUCUUUCUGAUUA